GAAAAUAUUUUUGCAUUUUUUGAAUAUAAAAAACUAUUUAAAAUGAAUUAAAAAUAACCAGAAAAGAGAAAAUUCACAAAAAAUAUCAAAUGACAAAAUAAAAAAUAAUAAAAAUCAGAAAUAGAAACUAGAAUUUAUUUGGGAAAUAAUGCAAUUGAUCCCAUAAUUUUUGGAUAAAAAAUGAGAAAGAUAUUGAUUUUUGAAAAUAAUUGGAAUUAAAGAAAUAAAAA
RNAcentral lists this long non-coding RNA (230 nucleotides) under Lathyrus oleraceus (garden pea). RNAcentral's name for it is "Pisum sativum (pea) long non-coding RNA (PSAT_LNC028447)". The record is from RNAcentral. Lineage: Eukaryota; Viridiplantae; Streptophyta; Magnoliopsida; Fabales; Fabaceae.